RNAcentral lists this long non-coding RNA (2096 nucleotides) under Medicago truncatula (barrel medic). Its description in RNAcentral is "long non-coding RNA (MTRU_LNC006012)". Lineage: Eukaryota; Viridiplantae; Streptophyta; Magnoliopsida; Fabales; Fabaceae. The record is from RNAcentral.
UGAAGAUCUUCAUCACGCUGUCAAAUAGAGAGCAAUCUAUUUGCGACAGCAUGAGGAAGAUCCUCAGCACAUUGACAAAAAUUUCCAUGAUUUCUUUGGUGUGUGUUUUUGUUGUAAAUGAAGAUGAAAACCAGAAACACUUAUUUAUAGAGGUCUCUGGACGUUGUGGACCACAUAAAUUGUCGGUGCAUUGUGGUCCAUACAAAAGAAUCCUAUGCUGAAGGAAUCCAGAUUAUGUAAUCCGAAUUGCACUUACACCCUAUAAAAAUGAGUUGUAUUCGGAAGAUUUUAGCGUUUAAAUGAACAUGUUUGGCGUAAAGUAACACAAUGAAAAUUUAGAUAAUAUAUAUAUAUAUAUAUAUAUAUAUAUAUAUAUAUAUUAUGUAAAACAUAAUAAAACAUCUUAGUUGAACAACAUAUAACUAACACAUCAUUAAAUAAUACAUAAAACACGUAAUCACAGAUCAUCUAAACUAAUGUCUUCGUGUGGUGCAUUCAUUAGCGCCCUUAUCUCUUCAUAGUUCCUUGGCCGGAUCAAAUUUUGUUGAAUAUGUUCAACAAAUCUGACCAACAAAGCGUCUAACUCGAUCGGCCCUCUAGUACUGAACUGACAAAAGAUGUAGAACAUGGUUCUCACGCGUAUAUAAUUAACAAAAUGUUUCGGAUUGGUCCAAGACCUAAUCUUGGAGCUGAAGGCCCAAUGAGGCACAUAAAUCCAACUACAAACUACAUAUACCAGCGACGAGCUACAUAAUAGAGAACAAGGACCCAUAUUUGGACCCUCCAACUACGUUUAAAGGGUUGCCUAGCCUAUGCAUAGUAAAGGACGCAACCUCCUAACCAUUGUGCUUACGUGACACUCUUAGCAACCUAUAAAAGGAGAAACUCACUACAAAAAAAAAAUACACACUCUCAUAUUGAGACAGACCUUAAAACUCCUUGAAUACUCUUUUAUUUAAGUAUUAUAGUGUUUUUGCAGAUACAUCACUCCGUUCUGUGAAGAACCACAGUAACAAGAUCUAGAACAUUAGAGAAUCUCAUGACUUAACGAUAUCCUCAACCAUCUGAAACACCGCGUACCAGCAAUACUAUGACAAAUCAAAUAACUGACUAGAAGAUCUAAAAAGAAUGAUCCUGCAUAAGUCGAGAAUGAUCGAUGAAAAAAAAUUAAUGUUGUAUAGAGUGGAUAACCGACAAGUCUGAGUCCUUGUUGUCCGAGGAGACAAGUCCUGGUUCAAUAGACAUCGAAACGACAACCAUCGAGAAGAUGGACAAAGAUAAAGCCGCAGACCCUCCGACGGAUUUUCUGAGCACGCUCUCUUAAACACUUCUAGAGGACCCAUCUCACAUAAUUGCACUAGGACCCAUCUCACAUAAUUGUACUAGCACCAUAUACAAGAAGAAGAGGAUACAGUUCUUGGAAAAAUUGUAAAAAAGACACAAGAUAAAUAAAAGAAAAUACUUCACUUCAAAAAGAGCAAUAGACACAACACCGAGGAGUGCAUCGAACUAGGAUACCUGAUUGAAACCCUCAUCCAUGAAGGGGAACUAGGAAAAUACACAUCGCUAGAACGCAUCAACAACGUAAUCGAGAGUUUCCCUUAAAAAAAACAUAAUCGAGAGUUUGAAAUGCAAAGAGGACCAUGGUGCAAGGAAGAAGGAUGCCCGAACAAGCGCCCAAAAGAAAACAAAAUCUUGAGCAAAGACUUACUAGUAACCAUGACUAACGAGGCCAAAUGCCUUAACCCCUAUCACUGCUACUCUCAACAUGGACUAAGCAAAUCUUUUCAAGAAAUAAAUGUUGCCCCGAACUUUUACACGGAAAACUCAUGUCAGAGAAAGCUGACACAAGCUCAAAAGAAACUCACGUUCCUAACAAAGAUCGAUCAACCUCGGUAGACCCACCCUACGUGAGUCUGUACCUUCCAAAUUUAUGGAGAACCUCCACUCACUCGGGAGAACACAAAAAAUCAAUAAUGACCCUUUCUCAAAUCUGUUAAUGCUUUGGAUUUAAGAGUUUCAUUUUCCACCCUACGUUUCUAAACCAUGUGUCUUAAAGUAUACUUUUUCGAAGGACACGCACGUGUUCUUUUUCU